UGAGCAAAUUCUGAGUGCAACUAAAAUUUAGACUAUUUACAUCUCUUUCUUACCAAUGUAACAUGAAAAGGACAGACAAGCCUAAUUUAAUUCAUAAUUGUCAAUUGACAAA
Long non-coding RNA from Maniola jurtina (meadow brown), 112 nucleotides. RefSeq lists it as uncharacterized. The record is from RefSeq and is a predicted model, not a curated record. The transcript is spliced from 3 exons. NCBI's taxonomy places the organism in Eukaryota, Metazoa, Arthropoda, Insecta, Lepidoptera, Nymphalidae.